RNAcentral lists this ribosomal RNA (483 nucleotides) under uncultured bacterium. RNAcentral's name for it is "partial 16S ribosomal RNA". It matches the Rfam family "Bacterial small subunit ribosomal RNA", at positions 29 to 507 of the family's 1533-position model. The record is from RNAcentral.
UUGAACGCUGGCGGCAUGCUUUACACAUGCCAGUCGAACGGCAGCGCGGGCUUCGGCCUGGCGGCGAGUGGCGAACGGGUGAGUAAUACAUCGGAACGUGCCCGGUAGUGGGGGAUAGCUCGGCGAAAGCCGGAUUAAUACCGCAUACGACCUGAGGGUGAAAGCGGGGGAUCUUCGGACCUCGCGCUAUUGGAGCGGCCGAUGGCAGAUUAGCUAGUUGGUGGGGUAAAGGCCUACCAAGGCGACGAUCUGUAGCUGGUCUGAGAGGACGACCAGCCACACUGGGACUGAGACACGGCCCAGACUCCUACGGGAGGCAGCAGUGGGGAAUUUUGGACAAUGGGCGAAAGCCUGAUCCAGCAAUGCCUCGUGUGUGAUGAAGGCCUUCGGGUUGUAAAGCACUUUUGGCGGGAACGAAAAGGACUGUGCCAAUACCACGGUUCGAUGACGGUACCCGCAGAAUAAGCACCGGCUAACUACGUG